This 682-nucleotide small RNA is filed under the name Pan troglodytes (chimpanzee). Its description in RNAcentral is "retained intron". The record is from RNAcentral. Lineage: Eukaryota; Metazoa; Chordata; Mammalia; Primates; Hominidae.
AGUACAGAGGAAUCAUUUAUAUCCAGUGCCAAAGGCCAGCCAACCAUAUAAUUUGAUAUAUGUAUUAUUUUCCUGAGGAAAAGUUGCUACAGUAUUACAACUAUUUUAUGUGCCUAGGUAAAGAAAUAAUGGGAUAAGAUUUCUAAACCCCACUGUGGAGGUUUUUGCUGGCCUUCUUAAUGAAAUCUAAUAAAAGGAAACGACUAGAGACAAUAUUCACUUAUUAUUUAUCAUAAGGUCUGUUGAAUUGUGCUGAGUUAAUGUUAGGUUUGAAUGAAUUCCAUUUUCCUCUUAUCCAAUAGGAUGUACAGUUACCCAGCACGUGUACCUCCUCCUCCUCCUAUUGCUCGGGCUGUCGUGCCCUCGAAACGUCAGCGUGUAUCAGGAAACACUUCACGAAGGGGCAAAAGUGGCUUCAAUUCUAAGAGUGGACAGCGGGGAUCUUCCAAGUCUGGAAAGUUGAAAGGAGAUGACCUUCAGGCCAUUAAGAAGGAGCUGACCCAGAUAAAACAAAAAGUGGAUUCUCUCCUGGAAAACCUGGAAAAAAUUGAAAAGGAACAGAGCAAACAAGCAGUAGAGAUGAAGAAUGAUAAGUCAGAAGAGGAGCAGAGCAGCAGCUCCGUGAAGAAAGAUGAGACUAAUGUGAAGAUGGAGUCUGAGGGGGGUGCAGAUGACUCUGCUG